CCCGACUGCUAUUUGGGUGAGGAUAAGCCAUGCGAGUUGAAUGGGAUACCCAAAGUUCCCAUGGCAAACUGCUCAGUAACACAUGAUCAACUUGCCCUAUAGAGAAAAAUAACCUCGGGAAACUGGGGAUAAUGUUUCAUAGCUGAAUUGGCUUGGAAAAGUUUUUCGGCGAAAGGGGUAAAAAGAAUGGUUUUUAUCUGCUAUAGGAUAGGAUCGUGUUCGAUUAUGGUUGUUGGUGAGGUAAUGGCUCACCAAGCCGAUAAUCGAUAGGGGCCGUGAGAGCGGGAGCCCCGAGAUGGGUACUGAGACAACGACCCAGGCCUUACGAGGCGCAGCAGGCGCGAAACCUCCGCAAUACACGAAAGUGUGACGGGGUUACCCAAAGUGUUCAAUUUUGAACUGUGGUAGGUGAGUAAUGUUCCCUACUAGAAAGGAGAGGGCAAGGCUGGUGCCAGCCGCCGCGGUAAAACCAGCUCUUCAAGUGGUCGGGAUAAUUAUUGGGCUUAAAGUGUCCGUAGCCGGUUUAGUAAGUUCCUGGUGAAAUCGGGUAGCUUAACUAUCUAUAUGCUAGGAAUACUACUAUACUAGAGGGCGGGAGAGGUCUGAGGUACUACAGGGGUAGGGGUGAAAUCUUAUAAUCCUUGUUGGACCACCAGUGGCGAAGGCGUCAGACUGGAACGCGCCUGACGGUGAGGGACGAAAGCCAGGGGAGCGAACCGGAUUAGAUACCCGGGUAGUCCUGGCCGUAAACGAUGCAUACUAGGUGAUGGCACGGCCAUGAGCCGUGUCAGUGCCGUAGGGAAACCGUUAAGUGUGCCGCCUGGGAAGUACGGUCGCAAGGCUAAAACUUAAAGGAAUUGGCGGGGGAGCACCACAAGGGGUGAAGCCUGCGGUUC
This 896-nucleotide ribosomal RNA is filed under the name uncultured archaeon. RNAcentral describes it as "bacterial SSU rRNA". It matches the Rfam family "Archaeal small subunit ribosomal RNA", at positions 21 to 903 of the family's 1478-position model. The record is from RNAcentral.